Molecule: long non-coding RNA, 259 nt
Filed under: Mytilus galloprovincialis (Mediterranean mussel)
Lineage: Eukaryota; Metazoa; Mollusca; Bivalvia; Mytilida; Mytilidae
Source: RNAcentral
CAAUAGAGUCACAUAAGAUUAACACCCUCUUCUUCAUUACUGCAAUUAAGGGAUAAAUUUAGUCAUGGCCUUAGCAACAGAGACUUUUUCGGAUAAAGAAAAUUGAAGAUAUAAUUUAUAGGCAUCACUUGCCCAAUCACCAUGAACUUGUAUUAACUCUGCAGGUACCUUAGAUUCAAAAGCAAAGGUCGCACCCCCUCGGCGGAAACUAUGAGUAGAAAAUAAUCGUGGAUUCCUGCCUAUCUUACUAAUAAACUCC